RNAcentral lists this ribosomal RNA (250 nucleotides) under uncultured bacterium. Its description in RNAcentral is "partial 16S ribosomal RNA". It matches the Rfam family "Bacterial small subunit ribosomal RNA", at positions 524 to 773 of the family's 1533-position model. The record is from RNAcentral.
UACGUAGGAGGCGAGCGUUAUCCGGAUUUAUUGGGCGUAAAGUGGGCGUAGGUGGUCUUUCAAGUCGGAUGUGAAAUCUCCUGGCUUAACUGGGAGGGGUCAUCCGAUACUGUUGGACUUGAGUAUGGCAGGGGAAAAUGGAAUUCCCGGUGUAGUGGUGAAAUGCGUAGAUAUCGGGAGGAACACCAGAGGCGAAGGCGAUUUUCCAGGCCAAAACUGACACUGAGGCCCGAAAGCGUGGGGAGCGAAC